GGCGGGGCUCACCUCUUCCCAUCCCGAACAGAGUAGUUAAGCCCGCCUGCGCAGAUGGUACUGCAGUAUUGUGGGAGAGUAUGUCGUCGCCUUUC
Molecule: ribosomal RNA, 95 nt
Filed under: Flavobacterium sp. Root186
Lineage: Bacteria; Pseudomonadati; Bacteroidota; Flavobacteriia; Flavobacteriales; Flavobacteriaceae
Source: RNAcentral